AGAACGAACGCUGGCGGCAGGCUUAACACAUGCAAGUCGAGCGCCGUAGCAAUACGGAGCGGCAGACGGGUGAGUAACGCGUGGGAACAUACCCUCCGGUUCGGAAUAACUCAGGGAAACUUGAGCUAAUACCGGAUACGGCAUCGGAGAGAGAUCUCGGCGGCGAAAGAUUUAUCGCCGGAGGAUUGGCCCGCGUUCGAUUAGCUAGUUGGUGAGGUAACGGCUCACCAAGGCGACGAUCGAUAGCUGGUCUGAGAGGAUGAUCAGCCACAUUGGGACUGAGACACGGCCCAAACUCCUACGGGAGGCAGCAGUGGGGAAUAUUGGACAAUGGGCGCAAGCCUGAUCCAGCCAUGCCGCGUGAGUGAUGACGGCCUUAGGGUUGUAAAGCUCUUUCGCUAGGGACGAUAAUGACGGUACCUAGACAAGAAGCCCCGGCUAACUUCGUGCCAGCAGCCGC
Molecule: ribosomal RNA, 460 nt
Filed under: uncultured bacterium
Lineage: Bacteria
Description: SSU rRNA
Rfam family: Bacterial small subunit ribosomal RNA
Source: RNAcentral